UACGGAGGGUGCAAGCGUUGUCCGGAAUCACUGGGCGUAAAGGGCGCGUAGGCGGCCUGAUAAGUAGGAGGUGAAAUCCUGCGGCUUAACCGCAGGGCUGCCUUCUAAACUGUCAGGCUAGAGCACAGUAGAGGCAGGUGGAAUUCCCGGUGUAGCGGUGGAAUGCGUAGAGAUCGGGAAGAACAUCGGUGGCGAAGGCGGCCUGCUGGGCUGUUGCUGACGCUGACACGCGAAAGCUAGGGGAGCGAACGGG
This 253-nucleotide ribosomal RNA is filed under the name uncultured bacterium. Its description in RNAcentral is "partial 16S ribosomal RNA". It matches the Rfam family "Bacterial small subunit ribosomal RNA", at positions 524 to 776 of the family's 1533-position model. The record is from RNAcentral.